Non-coding RNA from Symsagittifera roscoffensis, 73 nucleotides. The record is from the annotation of a RefSeq genome assembly. NCBI's taxonomy places the organism in Eukaryota, Metazoa, Xenacoelomorpha, Acoela, Convolutidae.
GGUGCUGUUGUGUAGCGGUUAUCACGUUUGCCUUGCACGCAAAAGGUCUUCAGUUCGAUCCUGGACAGCAUCA